This 1389-nucleotide ribosomal RNA is filed under the name Triticum aestivum (bread wheat). RNAcentral's name for it is "partial small subunit ribosomal RNA". The record is from RNAcentral. Lineage: Eukaryota; Viridiplantae; Streptophyta; Magnoliopsida; Poales; Poaceae.
AUGAAGAAGACCGUGGUCCUGUACCCUGGCCUCGGCGUCGGCCACCUGGUGCCGAUGGUCGAGGUUGCCAAGCUGUUCCUCAAGCACGGCCUGGCCGUCACCUUGGCGCUCGUCGAGCCGCAGGUCAAGUCCACGGACUUCUCCGCCGCGGUCGCCCGCGCGAGGGCCUCCAACCCCUCCGUCGACUUCCACGUCCUGCCGUCGCCGCCCGCCGAUUCCAACCCCGACAGCGGGCCCAGGCACCACGUCGUCAAGGUUAUCCUCCCGCCGCCCGCCGUCCUGCCGUCGCCGCCCGCCGCCAUGAACGCGCCCCUCCGCGACUUCCUCCGCUCGCUGCCCGCCGUCCACGCGCUCGUCCUCGACAUGUUCUGCGUCGACGCCCAGGACGUCGCAGCCGAGCUCAAGCUGCCGGUCUACUACUCGUUCGCCUCCGCUGCCGGCGACCUCGCCAUCUUCCUCAACCUGCCGAGCAAGUUCGCCAGCAAUACGGCCAAGGUAAAAGAGCUCGGCGACUCCAUCAUCACCUUCCCGGGUGUUCCUCCUUUCAAGGCUUCGGAGCUGCCGUCCGAAGUUAUCGCCGACGAUGAAGCACUCGUGUACGUCUUACGCAUGUUUCAGCGAAUGGCGGAGGCGAAAGGAAUUCUUAUAAAUUCCUUCGACUCGCUGGAAAAGCCCGCACUGAGCGCUCUCAGCGAAGGACUUUGCGUCCCUGGUCGUGCGACGCCGCCGGUCUACUGCAUCGGGCCGUUGGUCUCUGGAGGCGGAGACAAGGAGCACGAGUGCCUCCGCUGGCUGGACGCGCAGCCGGACCAGAGCGUAGUGUUCCUCUCCUUCGGCAGCCUGGGCACAUUCACCAGUAAGCAGCUAGAGGAAAUUGCAAUUGGUUUGGAGAAGUCAGGGGAGAGGUUCCUGUGGGUUGUGCGGAGCCCGCGCAGUCCCGACCAGAAGCACGGGGAUCCGCUGCCGGAGCCUGACCUCGAGGCGCUCAUGCCGGAAGGGUUCUUGGAGAAGACCAAGGACAGAGGGCUCGUGGUGAAGUCUUGGGCGCCGCAGGUGGAGGUCCUGCGUCACAGGGCAACCGGCGCAUUCAUGACGCACUGCGGCUGGAACUCGACACUGGAGGGCAUCACGGCAGGGUUGCCGCUGCUGUGCUGGCCGCUGUACGCGGAGCAGAAGGUGAACAAGGUGCACAUAGUGGAGGGAAUGAAGCUUGGGGUGGAGAUGAGAGGCUACAAUGAAGAGGUGGUUAAGGCUGAGGAGGUGGAGGAGAAGGUCAGAUGGGUUAUGGCGCUCCAGGAAGGGGGCUCGUCCAACUUGGCGUUUGCCCAAUUCCUAAAAGACGUGGAUGUGAAGCUUGUAAACCUACUUAAUGCUGGAUUUUCUUUUUAG